This 253-nucleotide ribosomal RNA is filed under the name uncultured bacterium. RNAcentral describes it as "partial 16S ribosomal RNA". It matches the Rfam family "Bacterial small subunit ribosomal RNA", at positions 524 to 776 of the family's 1533-position model. The record is from RNAcentral.
UACGGAGGGUGCAAGCGUUAUCCGGAUUCACUGGGCUUAAAGGGUGCGUAGGUGGGCAGGUAAGUCAGUGGUGAAAUCUCCGAGCUUAACUCGGAAACUGCCAUUGAUACUAUCUGUCUUGAAUUAUCUGGAGGUGAGCGGAAUAUGUCAUGUAGCGGUGAAAUGCUUAGAUAUGACAUAGAACACCAAUUGCGAAGGCAGCUCACUACGGAUAUAUUGACACUGAGGCACGAAAGCGUGGGGAUCAAACAGG